This 288-nucleotide long non-coding RNA is filed under the name Zonotrichia albicollis (white-throated sparrow). RNAcentral describes it as "lncRNA (ENSZALG00000011138.1)". The record is from RNAcentral. Lineage: Eukaryota; Metazoa; Chordata; Aves; Passeriformes; Passerellidae.
AGGUAUUCUCUUACAAUAGGCUAAUUAUUGUAUCCCCUCUGCUGACCAGAUGUUCUCACAGGGGCUCACUGGUUCACACAGGCACUGCUUUUUUCUUAAGGAUGAGUAGCUGAAGAUGAAGAUAAUAACUGAGGAACCGAGACCUGCUCCAGCAAAACACCUAAGCAUACAAUGAAGUAUUCUUUUGAUCAAGAGCUGAGAUACUUCAAAGAGAGAUGUAUUAUGGCAUCAUGGAGAAAGACCAUGAACAUGACAUUCAGGAUAAAACAAUUCUGUUUACAAAUAAAU